RNAcentral lists this ribosomal RNA (380 nucleotides) under Priestia megaterium. RNAcentral describes it as "bacterial SSU rRNA". It matches the Rfam family "Bacterial small subunit ribosomal RNA", at positions 46 to 418 of the family's 1533-position model. The record is from RNAcentral. Lineage: Bacteria; Bacillati; Bacillota; Bacilli; Caryophanales; Bacillaceae.
GCUAUCAUGCAAGUCGAGCGACUGAUUAGAAGCUUGCUUCUAUGACGUUAGCGGCGGACGGGUGAGUAACACGUGGGCAACCUGCCUGUAAGACUGGGAUAACUUCGGGAAACCGAAGCUAAUACCGGAUAGGAUCUUCUCCUUCAUGGGAGAUGAUUGAAAGAUGGUUUCGGCUAUCACUUACAGAUGGGCCCGCGGUGCAUUAGCUAGUUGGUGAGGUAACGGCUCACCAAGGCAACGAUGCAUAGCCGACCUGAGAGGGUGAUCGGCCACACUGGGACUGAGACACGGCCCAGACUCCUACGGGAGGCAGCAGUAGGGAAUCUUCCGCAAUGGACGAAAGUCUGACGGAGCAACGCCGCGUGAGUGAUGAAGGCUUU